Molecule: antisense RNA, 75 nt
Filed under: Mycobacterium bohemicum
Lineage: Bacteria; Bacillati; Actinomycetota; Actinomycetes; Mycobacteriales; Mycobacteriaceae
Also listed under: 1 other name
Description: ASpks TB sRNA
Rfam family: ASpks TB sRNA
Source: Rfam by way of RNAcentral
CUUGAUCGAUCCCAGCCACAGCGGCCGGUCCGGUGGACGGUGCUGCCCGUAGGUGGCCAGAAGUGCUUGUGCCUC